Molecule: long non-coding RNA, 904 nt
Organism: Oncorhynchus tshawytscha (Chinook salmon)
Lineage: Eukaryota; Metazoa; Chordata; Actinopteri; Salmoniformes; Salmonidae
Source: Ensembl
GAAGUCCUGAUGAUGCUGUCCGACUGGCUGGGCUGGGCAGCGUCUCUCUCCCCCCGCCCACCACUUCAUCUUCUCCUCCUCCGUUCUCUCUGUGGCAUCUGAUGCCUUUGCUUUUGUGUUCCAACACUACAGUCAGAAGGUUUACAAACAGUUAUCAAUAUGUCUAGCGCUCGGUCGGCCGGCCGGUCGGCUCAGCCCAGGAGACCAACCAACCUAAUAAACAGCUUCAGUACACAUUCUCUUUAAUCGCACUAAAAUAACCACCAAAAAAAAAAAUCAAAUAAAACAUCAACCAAGAAGGAAAACAAAUGAAUAUAUAUCAUUAUUAUUAUGAAAUAAAAACAAUGACAACAGAACGACAGCAUCAUCGUGGUCGUCGUGGUGACGACGAUGGGAGGAGACAUGGGAUGACGGUGGGAGGAGCAGGCUGGAGUCUCUACCUUGGUUAAAUGUUACAUCAGGCCUCUGUGUUAACAAAAUAAGGAUUGUCCUUCAGAAAGUGCGGUUUUCCCCGAAGAAGACGAGAUAAUACGAAGACCCUGAGCCCCCCCCGCCCCCCUCCCCCGUCAGGAAGACACAACGCCAAAACACGGUCCCUGUAACUGACAAGUCUUUAUUAUUAGUCAUAUUAUAGACAUGGGGUUUCUCUCUGUACAUCGUAUCAAUCAGCCUCCCAAAGCAAUGUGCAUAUUAGGUUUACAGGUCAGGCCAAUAUUCUACUCUGCAUCUCAAGGUGUGAGGCUUCUAGCUGAUACAAUUCUCAGUGAUAGAACGUCUCUAUAGAAGUAAAGGAGAGAAUUCUAGAAUUCUCAGUGAUAGAACGUCUCUAUAGAAGUAAAGGAGAGAAUUCUCAGUGAUAGAACUCUAGAAUUCUCAGUGAUAGAACUCUAGAAUUCUCAGUGAU